GAUGAACGCUGGCGGCGUGCCUAAUACAUGCAAGUCAAGCGAACAGACGAGGAGCUUGCUCCUCUGACGUUAGCGGUGGACGGGUGAGUAACACGUGGAUAACCUACCUAUAAGACUGGGAUAACUUCGGGAAACCGGAGCUAAAACCGGAUAACAUGUUGAACCGCAUGGUUCAACAGUGAAAGACGGUCUUGCUGUCACUUAUAGAUGGAUACGCGCCACAUUAGCUAGUUGGUAAGGUAACGGCUUACCAAGGCAACGAUGCGUAGCCGACCUGAGAGGGUGAUCGGCCACCCUGGAACUGAGACACGGUCCAGACUCCUACGGGAGGCAGCAGUAGGGAAUCUUCCGCAAUGGGCGAAAGCCUGACGGAGCAACGCCGCGUGAGUGAAGAAGGUCUUCGGAUUGUAAAACUCUGUUAUUAGGGAAGAACAAAUGUGUAAGUAACUAUGCACGUCUUGACGGUACCUAAUCAGAAAGCCACGGCUAACUACGUGCCAGCCGCCGCGGUAA
This 513-nucleotide ribosomal RNA is filed under the name uncultured bacterium. Its description in RNAcentral is "partial 16S ribosomal RNA". It matches the Rfam family "Bacterial small subunit ribosomal RNA", at positions 28 to 523 of the family's 1533-position model. The record is from RNAcentral.